RNAcentral lists this ribosomal RNA (253 nucleotides) under uncultured bacterium. RNAcentral's name for it is "partial 16S ribosomal RNA". It matches the Rfam family "Bacterial small subunit ribosomal RNA", at positions 524 to 776 of the family's 1533-position model. The record is from RNAcentral.
UACGUAGGGUGCAAGCGUUAUCCGGAAUUAUUGGGCGUAAAGAGCUCGUAGGCGGUUUGUCGCGUCUGCUGUGAAAACUGGAGGCUCAACCUCCAGCCUGCAGUGGGUACGGGCAGACUAGAGUGCGGUAGGGGAGAUUGGAAUUCCUGGUGUAGCGGUGGAAUGCGCAGAUAUCAGGAGGAACACCGGUGGCGAAGGCGGGUCUCUGGGCCGAUAUUGACGCUGAGGAGCGAAAGCGUGGGGAGCGAACAGG